GGGCCCGUGGUCUAGUGGUUAUGACGGCAGUCUCACACACUGCAGGUCGUGGGUUCGAAUCCCGCCCGGUCCA
RNAcentral lists this transfer RNA (73 nucleotides) under Hadesarchaea archaeon. Its description in RNAcentral is "tRNA-Val". It matches the Rfam family "tRNA". From Rfam's summary of the family: Transfer RNA (tRNA) molecules are approximately 80 nucleotides in length. Their secondary structure includes four short double-helical elements and three loops (D, anti-codon, and T loops). Lineage: Archaea; Methanobacteriati; Hadarchaeota (SeqCode); Hadarchaeia (SeqCode). The record is from RNAcentral.